Molecule: ribosomal RNA, 324 nt
Filed under: Triticum aestivum (bread wheat)
Lineage: Eukaryota; Viridiplantae; Streptophyta; Magnoliopsida; Poales; Poaceae
Description: partial small subunit ribosomal RNA
Source: RNAcentral
AUGGCCAAGAUAACCAGGAGGUUCCUUACUAUCCUGGCUACCUCCGUGUCUUCGGAAUCUACCUUCAGCACGACCGGAAGGAUUUUAGAUGACUAUAGGAGUUCGUUAAAACCGGUUAUGGUGGAGGCAUUAGUUUGUGGUGCAAGUUAUAUCAAGGGUGCUCAUGUUGACUUGAAUCUGGUGCGAGGGAUGAGAAUGAAGAGGAUGAUGUUGAGAACAUCAAGUUACCCAUUGUGGUGGAGGAGAUCAAUGAUUGACAUUCAUCAUGUGGAUGUUGAUCUUGCUAUUUUGGAGAUUAAUGUCAAAGUGAUCUUUCUCAUGUGA